UGGGGAAUUUUGGACAAUGGGCGCAAGCCUGAUCCAGCCAUGCCGCGUGCGGGAAGAAGGCCUUCGGGUUGUAAACCGCUUUUGUCAGGGAAGAAAUCCUUUGAGCUAAUACCUCGGGGGGAUGACGGUACCUGAAGAAUAAGCACCGGCUAACUACGUGCCAGCAGCCGCGGUAAUACGUAGGUGGCGAGCGUUGUUCGGAUUUAUUGGGCGUAAAGGGUCUGUAGGAGGUUUCUUAAAUUCGAGGUGAAAUCCCGGAGCUCAACCUGGGAACUGCAUUUGUGACUGUAUAGCUAGAGUACGGCAGAGGGGGAUGGAAUUCCGCGUGUAGCAGUGAAAUGCGUAGAUAUGCGGAGGAACACCGAUGGCGAAGGCAAUCCCCUGGGCCUGUACUGACGCUCAUGCACGAAAGCGUGGGGAGCAAACA
RNAcentral lists this ribosomal RNA (427 nucleotides) under uncultured bacterium. RNAcentral's name for it is "bacterial SSU rRNA". It matches the Rfam family "Bacterial small subunit ribosomal RNA", at positions 355 to 774 of the family's 1533-position model. The record is from RNAcentral.